Molecule: ribosomal RNA, 253 nt
Filed under: uncultured bacterium
Lineage: Bacteria
Description: partial 16S ribosomal RNA
Rfam family: Bacterial small subunit ribosomal RNA
Source: RNAcentral
UACGUAGGCAGCGAGCGUUGUUCGGAAUUACUGGGCGUAAAGCGCGUGUAGGCGGUUUCCCAAGUCGGGGGUGAAAGCCUUGAGCUCAACUCAAGAAAUGCACUCGGUACUGGGUGACUAGAGGACCGGAGAGGAUAGUGGAAUUCCCAGUGUAGUGGUGAAAUACGUAGAGAUUGGGAAGAACACCAGUGGCGAAGGCGGCUAUCUGGACGGUUUCUGACGCUAAGACGCGAAAGCGUGGGGAGCAAACAGG